CCUACGGGAGGCAGCAGUAGGGAAUCUUUCACAAUGGGCGAAAGCCUGAUGGAGCAACGCCGCGUGCAGGAUGAAGGCCUUCGGGUUGUAAACUGCUUUUAUAAGCGAGAAAUAUGAUGGUAACUUAUGAAUAAGGAACGGCUAAAUACGUGCCAGCAGGCGCGGUCAGUCGUAGGAUCCGAGCAUUAUCCGGAGUGGAUGGGUGUAAAGAGUUGCGUAGGUGGCAUAAUAAGUAGCGAGUGAAAUCUGGUGGCUCAACCAUUCAGACUAUUCGCUAAACUGUUAAGCUCGAGACCGUUAGGGGUAAGUGGAAUUUCUAGUGUAGGAGUGAAAUCCGUAGAUAUUAGGAAGAACACCAAUAGCGUAGGCAGGUUACUGGAACGGUUCUGACACUAAGGCACGAAAGCGUAGGGAGCAAACAGGAUUAGAUACCCGUGUAGUC
RNAcentral lists this ribosomal RNA (442 nucleotides) under uncultured bacterium. Its description in RNAcentral is "partial 16S ribosomal RNA". It matches the Rfam family "Bacterial small subunit ribosomal RNA", at positions 338 to 795 of the family's 1533-position model. The record is from RNAcentral.